AAAAGCUCGUAGUUGGAUUUCUGGCAGUGUGACUCCGGCCGGCAUGACGUCGGGUCCAGAGCGCGCUACCAUCCUUCUGUCAACCUUCGCGGGAUUGAUUUCCCGCCCUGGGGCUCAGAUAUUUUACCUUGAGAAAAUUAGAGUGUUUCAGGCAGGCUUUCGCCGGAAUACAUUAGCAUGGAAUAAUGGAAAAGGACUUCAACCUCUUCUGUUGGUCUGAGAGGCUGUAGUAAUGAUUAAUAGGGAUAGUUGGGGGCAUUAGUACUUGACUGUCAGAGGUGAAAUUCUCCGAUUUGUUAAAGACUAACUUAUGCGAAAGCAUUUGCCAAGGAUGUUUUCAUUAAUCAAGAACGAAAGUUAGGGGAUCAAAGACGAUCAGAUACCGUCCUAGUCUUAACCAUAAACUAUGCCGACUCGGGAUCGGAGGCGCGCAAAAUCGGUCUUCGGCACCGUAUGAGAAAUCAAAGUCUCUGGGUUCUGGGGGGAGUAUGGUCGCAAGGCUGAAACUUAAAGGAAUUGACGGAAGGGCACCACCAGGCGUGGAGCUUGCGGCUCAAUUUGACUCAACACGGGAAAACUCACCAGGUCCAGACAUAGUAAGGAUUGACAGAUUGAUAGCUCUU
Molecule: ribosomal RNA, 623 nt
Filed under: uncultured marine eukaryote
Lineage: Eukaryota
Description: SSU rRNA
Rfam family: Eukaryotic small subunit ribosomal RNA
Source: RNAcentral